Molecule: long non-coding RNA, 428 nt
Filed under: Zea mays
Lineage: Eukaryota; Viridiplantae; Streptophyta; Magnoliopsida; Poales; Poaceae
Description: long non-coding RNA NONZMAT003830
Source: RNAcentral
GGACACCUGCGUGUACGACCUGUGGGGGCAGAACCAGAGCCAUGGCAGAACAGGUCAAAGGCAGAACAAGUCAAUGGCAGACUACUAUUGCUUACUUAAUAAGUAGUAGAGAUAUCUCUAUUAUAUCAUAGCAAUAGUUUUCAUGGUUUCACGGUUUUCGUUAUUGUUAUGCUCUCCCAUAGGUCUGGAAACGAGCCGAGUCGAGCUAGGUUCGCUCGGCUCGUCCAAUGCACGAGCUCAAGAAUGAGGCCUGAUUAAUAUUAUUGUAUUAUAAAAUAACUAAUAUAUAUAUAUAUAUAAAUGUAUAAUAUAAAAGCAUCAUUCAAUAUUAUGAGUAAUAUAAAUUAUAAAAUAUCGUAAAUUCAUCAUAAAAAAAUAAAAUGAUCCUAUCAUCCAUAGAAUUAUUCAAUAUCCAUUGUUAUUUUAUA